ACGCACGCUGGCGGCGUGCCUAAUACAUGCCAGUAGAACGCUGAAGGAGGAGCUUGCUUCUCUGGAUGAGUUGCGAACGGGUGAGUAACGCGUAGGUAACCUGCCUGGUAGCGGGGGAUAACUAUUGGAAACGAUAGCUAAUACCGCAUAAUAGUAGAUGUCGCAUGACAUUUGCUUAAAAGGUGCAAUUGCAUCACUACCAGAUGGACCUGCGUUGUAUUAGCUAGUUGGUGAGGUAACGGCUCACCAAGGCAACGAUACAUAGCCGACCUGAGAGGGUGAUCGGCCACACUGGGACUGAGACACGGCCCAGACUCCUACGGGAGGCAGCAGUAGGGAAUCUUCGGCAAUGGACGGAAGUCUGACCGAGCAACGCCGCGUGAGUGAAGAAGGUUGUCGGAUCGUAAAGCUCUGUUGUAAGAGAAGAACGAGUGUGAGAGUGGAAAGUUCACACUGUGACGGUAUCUUACCAGAAAGGGACGGCUAACUACGUG
RNAcentral lists this ribosomal RNA (494 nucleotides) under uncultured bacterium. RNAcentral's name for it is "partial 16S ribosomal RNA". It matches the Rfam family "Bacterial small subunit ribosomal RNA", at positions 29 to 507 of the family's 1533-position model. The record is from RNAcentral.